Molecule: ribosomal RNA, 498 nt
Filed under: uncultured bacterium
Lineage: Bacteria
Description: bacterial SSU rRNA
Rfam family: Bacterial small subunit ribosomal RNA
Source: RNAcentral
CGAACGCUGGCGGCGUGGAUUAGGCAUGCAAGUCGAGCGAGAAAGUCCCCUUCGGGGGGCGAGUAAAGCGGCGAAAGGGUGAGUAAUGAAUAGACAACUUACCCUCGAGUUUGGGAUAACUCGCCGAAAGGCGAGCUAAUACCGGAUGGUAUCUGCUUAGCAUAGGCUUUGCAGAUUAAAGGUGGGGAUCUUCGGACCUGCCGCUCGAGGAGAGGUCUAUUUCCUAUCAGCUAGUUGGUGAGGUAACGGCUCACCAAGGUGACGACGGGUAGCCGGCCUGAGAGGGUGUCCGGCCACACUGGGACUGAGACACUGCCCAGACUCCUACGGGAGGCUGCAGUCGAGAAUCUUCCGCAAUGGGCGAAAGCCUGACGGAGCGACGCCGCGUGAAGGAUGAAGGCCUUCGGGUUGUAAACUUCUGUCAAUCGUUAAGAAAUGCAUCGGGGUCAAUACCCGCGGUGUUUGACGUAAGCGAUAAAGGAAGCCACGGCUAACUAC